RNAcentral lists this long non-coding RNA (684 nucleotides) under Homo sapiens (human). RNAcentral describes it as "HSALNT0318092". The record is from RNAcentral. Lineage: Eukaryota; Metazoa; Chordata; Mammalia; Primates; Hominidae.
CGGCGGUGAGGUGAGGCUCGUGUGCCUGGCGCCAGGAGUGCCCACCAAGAACCUUAAAUGGGUCUCCCAGAUGUUCAAAUAGCUUGUGUCCUGCACACUGACUGAGAGUGUGUCCUUGACAAGUCCCUUCACCUCCCUGAGCUCCAGGCUUGUCACCCGUAAAAGGUGGUGACAGGAAGAGAAGUGCACAUGUGGGAAGCUCCCGAAAGGUGCCAUGUGCUCUACCCCAUGUGUGCCCACUCUCCUCUGGCCUCCCCCAGCCCCUUGUCCUUCUCUGCCUGCUCUGUGCCCUGGAGGCUGUGUCUGGUGAAGGUGGAGGGACUCAGGACACAGCCCAGACAUUCUUGGGAAAAUCACCGCAGGGCUCAGACGGCCAAUGUGGGACCUCGUGGUCCAGGUUUGAGGAGCUCUGGGAGUCCUACGACUGAGGUCUCUGCCCAGUUUGGUCUCAGGGACUCAUCCUAACAGUUUAUAUGCCUGCCUUCUGCUUCCCGACUGCUGCAGAGGAAAGAACAGGGGCUUUGGAACCAGAGACCUGCGAUUAAAUCUGGAAUCAUGUCACCCCAGUGAGCCUUGGUGUCUUUACCUGUGAAAUUACCACCCUCCAUUCCUCAUGGGCAAAUGCAGGUGUGGGAAGUAACCAGAUUGUUUUAAAUACUCAAUAAAUGACGGUUGUAUUAGUAA